Molecule: ribosomal RNA, 1064 nt
Filed under: uncultured archaeon
Lineage: Archaea
Description: bacterial SSU rRNA
Rfam family: Archaeal small subunit ribosomal RNA
Source: RNAcentral
UAAGGAGGGGGAUAAUCCCGGGAAACUGGGGCUAAUCCCUUAUAGACCUGGGGCACUGGAAGGUCCCUAGGUUGAAACGGGUGAGUUGGCAUGCCGGUUCACCUGCUUUAGGAUGGGGCUGCGUCCGAUCAGGUAGUUGGUGGGGUAAUGGCCCACCAAGCCUAUGACCGGUGCGGGCUCUGAGAGGAGGAGCCCGGAGAUGGACCCUGAGACAAGGGUCCAGGCCCUACGGGGCGCAGCAGGCGCGAAACCUUCGCAAUGCCCGAAAGGGUGACGAGGCUACCCCGAGUGUCGUCCGCUAAGGACGGCUCUUGUCGGGUCUAAAAAGCCCGACGAAUAAGGGGAGGGCAAGUCUGGUGUCAGCCGCCGCGGUAAUACCAGCUCCCCGACUGGUCGGGACGAUUAUUGGGUCUAAAGCGUCCGUAGCCGGCCCUGUAUGUGAUCCGUUAAAUCCAGCGGCUCAACCGCUGGGCUGCGGAUCAUACUAUGGGGCUAGGGGACGGGAGAGGCCGGAGGUACUCCGCGGGUAGGGGUAAAAUCCGCUGAUCCGCGGAAGACCAACAGUGGCGAAGGCGUCCGGCCAGAACGCGCCCGACGGUGAGGGACGAAAGCCAGGGGAGCGAACCGGAUUAGAUACCCGGGUAGUCCUGGCCGUAAACGAUGCCCGCUAGGUCUUGGUGAAGCUUAGGGUUUCAUCAGGGCCGCAGGGAAGCCGUUACGCGGGCCACCUGGGGAGUACGGCCGCAAGGCUGAAACUUAAAGGAAUUGGCGGGGGAGCACCACAAGGGGUGAAGCCUGCGGUUUAAUUGGAGUCAACGCCGGGAACCUUACCAGGGGUGACGGCAGAGUGAAGGUCAGGCUAAAGACCUUACCUGACAAGCCGAGAGGAGGUGCAUGGCCGUCGCCAGCUCGUGCUGUGAAGUGUCCUGUUAAGUCAGGCAACGAGCGAGACCCUCGCUGCCGGUUGCUUCUAUGUUCCGAAAGGUACAUAGAGGAAACUGGUGGGACCGCCGCCGAUAAGGCGGAGGAAGGAGGGGGCUACGGCAGGUCAGUAUGCCCCGAAA